Molecule: long non-coding RNA, 1655 nt
Filed under: Phoenix dactylifera (date palm)
Lineage: Eukaryota; Viridiplantae; Streptophyta; Magnoliopsida; Arecales; Arecaceae
Description: long non-coding RNA (PDAC_LNC013530)
Source: RNAcentral
GAAGGAACAAAAAAGUGAAAGAAAAAAGAAAGGAAAGAAAGGAAAAUAGAAAGGAAAGAAGGAAAGAAAGAGGAAAAAGAAAGAAAGAAAAAAAGAAUGAGAGAGAGAUAGAGGAUAUCUAUCAGGAUAUAUGAUCGAGAUGGGCGAGACAGCAGGGCAUCUCGUUCCAUGGAGAAACUAGGACAACCCAUCCCACGGCAUUUAAAACCUUGCCCCUAGAUACUAGCUGCUCAAAAACAUUAUUUCUAAAGAUUGUUUUAAAAAAAUCCCAUGGCAAGAACAAUUGCACACACCUAAAGCUUCCGGUUAAAGGGCAAGACCUCACAUGGAAUGGUUAAGAUUGAUACUUUGUUUUCAAAAGGAAGCUUUUUAUUACCAUAUCCCAUGCUUACAUAUAUAUAACCACUAUAAUUUCGUUGACAAGUAAAAUUAUGCAGACACUAUCCUUAGUUGUUAAGAUCUGUAUCUCAGAUAUGUUGUUUAUCAAUUAACCAGAGGGAAGAAAACUUGAUCAGCAACUAAUAAUUAUCAUCCUUUCAAUUGGUCUUAAAAAUCCAGCAGUUUAGGAUCCAUGUUUGAGUACUAAGAAGGUUAGCUAUUUAGAACCUAAUGACAUUUAACUAAAAGGACAAAUCUAUCCAAGAUUAAUUAUGGUCAUGUACAUAGGAGCAAAAUUCAAUCAGGUGAGAACCACAAUGAGAACUACAAUAUAGCCACAAAUUUCUAAUCCACAAGAUUGAGAAUUACGAUAUGUCUCCUUACAGAAAAAAUAAAUCCAUAGUGAUCCUUGUGCUCAUCACAGAUGUUCAAAAGUGCAGAAUUACUAAACAUAAGCAAUAUAUUUUUACAAGUUUGAUUUGAAAAUUAAACAAUGACUAUAUAUUCACUCAAGGAAAUCCAUAUUAUGGAAUAUGCAUUAACAUUUACUCGUAAUAUUGUUUUAUUCAUCUUCUGAGAUAUUUAAUUUGUGAUCCUAACUUUUCUAAGAAGUUCAAAAGCACAAGCAGAAUGUCGUGAUUUGAGACAUGUCUAAUAUGAAAACCUACUGAACACUAUAUUGAAUAUAUGUUGGAGAAGAUAAAGCAGCAACAAAGUUUCAUGAAAACCAUUUGGAACCUACGAUACUAAUUACAUGCAUUCAACUCACAUGGAUGAGCUUUGCUUGAUUCUGCUGGUGAGGAGCAGCUGCAAGCAACCUUCUCAAAUUCACUUCAGUCUUGUUGAGUCUCAUGAUUACACCUAAAAAGAAACAAGAACAAGAUCAGAACUUUAGCACAGUAGGCAUAAUCUGCUGUCACAUAAUUCAAAAACUUCCUAUGAUGGGGCAGAAUAGAAGAUUUUAGAGGAACUACAGUAAUCCAUCGAACAAGAUUUUACCAUAUAAAAACGUUUUCCUAAAAAAAAAAAUUCUUUCUUCAAACUUUGCGUUUAGCCGACCAAUCCCACAACCUGAAGGUAGUAGAAACCAAUUUUCACUCUGGCUCCGUAACUGCAAGACAGGCAUCUCCAUUGCUAUCCCAAUAUGGUGCCCAUAAAGAAGCUUGCACCCCUCUCGUCCUUCCAACAUAUAUAUCACACAGAUAAUAACUUCUCUUUUUCAUUAAUUCCCAUUAUACGAGUUCUGAUUCAAGGAUCCCAGAAUUCAAGUCCAAAUG